UCUGGCGACCGGCGCACGGGUGAGUAACACGUAUCCAACCUGCCUUUACUCGGGGAUAGCCUUUCGAAAGAAAGAUUAAUACCCGAUAGCAUAAUGAUUCCGCAUGGUUUCAUUAUUAAAGGAUUCCGGUAAAGGAUGGGGAUGCGUUCCAUUAGGUUGUUGGUGAGGUAACGGCUCACCAAGCCUUCGAUGGAUAGGGGUUCUGAGAGGAAGGUCUCCCACAUUGGAACUGAGACACGGUCCAA
Molecule: ribosomal RNA, 245 nt
Filed under: uncultured bacterium
Lineage: Bacteria
Description: partial 16S ribosomal RNA
Rfam family: Bacterial small subunit ribosomal RNA
Source: RNAcentral